UUAACUCAAAUGUGUAUGGAGUUGGAAUGUUUGCCUACGUUUGCCGCUAGGGGCGCUGUUCCAACUGUUAUCUUUACGCUA
Molecule: microRNA precursor, 81 nt
Filed under: Bombyx mori (domestic silkworm)
Lineage: Eukaryota; Metazoa; Arthropoda; Insecta; Lepidoptera; Bombycidae
Description: mir-2807 microRNA precursor family
Rfam family: mir-2807 microRNA precursor family
Source: Rfam by way of RNAcentral